UUGGGUUUUGAUGCAUGCUUCUUGAUCAAAGUAUCACGAGUUUGUUAUAUAAUCGCAAACAAAUUCUUUAAUGAGAAUAUGCAUUUAUGUGUUUUCAAUUUGAAAAUUUGGUAUAACUCCAAUUACUCAGGUAUGAUCCAAUUCAAGGAAAUUGCCAGGUAGGGAGUUUGACUGGGGUGGUACAUCUCUUAAAUAAUAACGGAGGUGUUCCAAGACCAGCCCAGUGCGGACAGAAACCACACAUAGAGCAAAGGGGCAAAUGCUGACUUGAUCUCGGUGUUCAGUAAACACAGGGACAGCAAAAGCUCGGCAUAUAGAUCCUUUUGGUUUAAAGAGACAGGUUAGGUUUACUCUACUAAUGACAAAACGUUGCUGCGACAGCAUUCCUGCAUAGUACGAGAGGAACCGCAGGUACGGACCAAUGGCACAAUACUUGUUCGAGCGAACAGUGGUAUGACGCUACGUCCGUUGGAUUAUGCCUGAACGCCUCUAAGGUCGUAUCCGUGCUGGACUGCAAUGAUAAAUAAGGGCUUCUAAACCAUUAAAAGUUUGUAAUUUAUUUUACAAACGACAAUGGAUGUGAUGCCAAUGUAAUUUGUAAAAUAGUAA
RNAcentral lists this ribosomal RNA (609 nucleotides) under Drosophila guanche. Its description in RNAcentral is "eukaryotic LSU rRNA". It matches the Rfam family "Eukaryotic large subunit ribosomal RNA", at positions 2533 to 3250 of the family's 3401-position model. Lineage: Eukaryota; Metazoa; Arthropoda; Insecta; Diptera; Drosophilidae. The record is from RNAcentral.